AUAUAUAUGUAUGACACUUGUAACACUUUGAUUUCAAACAAAUGUAAUAAUUCUAUGUAAUGUAAUGCUUUGUGUUUACUAUGCUUACUAUGUACAUUGGAUUUGAUAUUCAACGUGCAGUCCGCCCCGGAAACGUUUCCGCCUUGGUUUCGGGGUGUGACAUAAAGGUAGUAGAAAAUGGAUAUCUUAUGAGAGAGUUAUGAUUUUUAUACGGACUUUAGAAAUCUAAGCCUAUAAAAAUAUAAAUUUAAAAAUAAAGUCAGAAUUAGCCGACAGAGUCUAAAUAAAAGUUCUAGAUCUCGACGAUGGCUACGUAUAGAUAUAAAGAACAGAGAAAUGGAGCUCGUGUGUAGCAAUUACAGAAAUGUGUGUUAUGAGCGCGGCGUGCGCUUCUAGAAGGUGGCAACACGGAGCACAAAGAAGGUGACAUGUGGCACAAAACGAAUGGGGAGACGUCACCUUAAGCGCGCGACACGCAUGACCAAAAUUUGUCUAUAAAUAUCAUUUCACCCCUCAUUCACUUCUCCACACCCUCCAUACACUCACUCGAAUUUCCACUCUUUCUGUCUGAAAAUUUGUAAUACCUAGAAUAUUUUAGCGAAGCUUUGGAGUCUUUGAAUGCCCGACAGUUAAAAGUAAUCAUGUCAAAUUAUGUCGGCGAUUUUCCACACUUUUGUCAAAAAGUCUAUGUAACUUAAGCUACACUUGUUAGGGAAAACAGACGAUACUGGUCAAGACUCAAAACAAAUUUGAUGUCACUUGCCAAGUUCUGGGUGGCCCUUGUUAGGAAGAGAUGUGAAUAACAAGCAAAACUAUAAGCAUAGAAAGACAUAGUAUUUACGUGGUUCGGUCAAGGCGACCUACGUCCACGAGUAGGAGGGGAGUAUUCUUUAUUUCAGAGUUCUCAAAUAGAGGUUACAAGUACAAUUCACCAAAGAUUCACCUAUCACUCUAGAAUUCAAGAUACAAGACACUAGACAAAUGACUCUACAUGCAUCCUAAUUUAUACUUGAAGGAUCAAACCUAAAACCCUAAUGGGUCAAGCUCAUUUGCCCAUAAGCCCAUGACAGGUGUCAACCAAUCACAAGCCGCCAUGCAGCAUCCUCUGGAACACCUUGUGCUAUAGUGGAGCAUCAUGAUGUACAAGUGGCUCAUCAUGAACUCUAAUGGGCCAACAUCCAUCAUGGUGGCACAACAUGGUGUAAUUCUUGAGCAAUACCAACUUCUGAGCAUCCUUGAACGAUUUUGAGCAUUAUAGAGGACUUCAUACAUACUUGGCUCAUCAAGGACCAAGAUGGUCCAUCUUGCUCCAUCAUGGUGCAACAAGAAUAUAGAUUACGCAAGUGGCUUCAAUUCUGGCACAAGCACAUCAAGAUUUGAGAAACAACACCACCAUGGCGCAAUAGGAACAUGCAUGGCGCAACAAGGACAUGCAUAGCGCAAGAGUAUACCUCAUGGCACAAGAGGAAUCCUCAUGGCGCAAGAGGGAGCAUAAUGGUGCAAGAAGGAAUACCAUGGCACAACAUCCCUGAUUGCCUCAAACCACCAAAGAAGUAACAAGUUUGGACUGAUCACAAUAGAACGACCACAAGACUUUCUCAAAGUAGUGAGAAAUGUAUAACCAUCCUGCUCUUUUAUCACUCCGAUAUGUCAUCUUCUUUUAAGAUCCUAAAUCGUUCAUUACAAGCUCAUUCUCCAAAUUCUUCUUCAAGGCGGUGUUUGUUUUUUUUCCGCAGAUCUUCUUGGCCUCUUCUAUCUGCGCGGCGCAGAUCACACACAUACAUUAGUCUUCAAAGGCUGUUUUUUUUUUAAGACUGUAGACCUAAAAAUGUAUGUGCGCCCUCUUUUAGUGCAGAUGUGGACCAGUCUUCUAACAUCUUCAGACAUCUUCUAGUCUAAAAAAACACAUAUAAAUAAAAAUUUAUUACAAUAAUGGUCGUUGAAGUUGUUUAUAAAAAUAUGAAAAAAAUAAAAUAAAAUAAUAUAUGCUUAUAUUUUUUAUGCCAAAUUUUAUAAAACAUUAUUUAAUACAAUAUCGUCAACUUCUUUGAAAAAUAUUUAUGACUAGUUUUUAAUUGAUUUAAAUCAAAAAAUCAAAGUUUAUUUCCAUCCACUUAUGUAUCAAAAUCUUUGAUUUCUAACUACAAUGUUUAGGUAUAACUUUGCGACCAAAAUUAUUAGUUUUUAUUAAAUAUAUACGUUAAUUUAUACCAUUUUUAUUUUCACUUUUUAUACAAUAAUACAUAAAAGUUGAUUUAGAUUUGUUAAUUAUUUAUUACAAAGUCAUAAAUAUAUUAAAAAAUCACUUUGUAGUUUAAAAAAUUAAUUUAUUUAGAUUUUAGUUUAUUUUAGUAGUCUGCAGAUGUUAAAAAAACAGUCUUCUUUUUUCAAACUGUAAAAGUUUGGUCUACCUCUUCUGCUGCAGAGGUCCACAGAUGUGGUCCACAGACUGCAAACAUUUUGUAUCAUAAAAAACAAACAACACCUAAGUUGUCUUUCUUGGCAUCAUCACCAGACACUUUUUCCCUGGGUUGAAAGGAAAAAAGCAACAAGCAAACAACAUUCGAGCAGAAAAACUCUAUAGGCAUAUGGCAUCAAAUUUCAGGCAAUUUUAUUAUGUAAUUCCUGAAGAUCUCUAUCCUACUACAAGCAUGCAAUUCAAUCAUAAGAAAAUAACAAUGACUUGGGGGUAUACAUUCUUGCUCUGGCUGAUCAUACACAUCCCGUCUUUCCUUGGUUACUUUUGAAAACCAUUUGAAAACAAAUUGAAAACUUUAGCAGAUCCUUAGUUUGAGUCUAGAUUCACACAAAUGUUCAUCCAAUUAUCACAAAUAGGGCUCUGAUAUCAACUUGUAACAUGCCAAAAUCACGAUAAAAAUUUUCAUUUUAAAAUCAAAAGAAAUCAUUGUUUUCAAACAAACCCAUAACAAAAUCAAGUAUAAAGUACAUAUAUCCCUAGAUCAGUGUACCAUAAAUCUCCAAGAACAUGUCAUAGAAGGAUGUGUAUGAUCAGACAUUCGUCUUGUAACGAUCAGCUGAAGUACUUGAAACAUGAAUUUGAAAACUAUAAGCCAGAGCUUAGUGAGUUCCCCCAAAGUCCAACCACACAAAAAUAUAGCAACAUGCGUACUAGGUCCACAACUAACAAACUGGAUUACCCGUGAGUCCACAACAUGAGUCUGGCUUACCUUCCGGCCCAUAGCUCAUGUAUGGCUUACUCCUAAGCACAUAGCCUAUGUUUUGCUUGUUUCCCGAUUUGUUGGCUUCUGCACAUAGCAAUAUUGCCUCAACCCAACCAAACUAUGUCGACAUAUACAUGUUAGAUAGCAUAUAUCCAGUAAACAGAUAAUCAUAUAACCACUCAACAAACUAACAGACAGAUCUACAGAUCAUUGUCACAUAACAAUAUCCUGUAUACCAGGCCUCGGUUCUAACAAAUCAAUACAACAUAGUAACAUCAUCAAAACCUGGAUAGAUAACCCAGUGGGUCCACAUUGGUGCCUUCGACCCAUUAGUACAGUGAGGAAAACUCACCUCUCAGUCUGGAAAGUUAGUUAGGCAGGACACUACUCCGAAUAUCAACUCUACAAGUCACAUAUACAUCAAAUAGUGAUAAAUCUCAACUACAACUCAAAAUACCCUUUGGUCAAAACUUCCAGACCCAGCGUACUUAGCUUGUACGCACGACGUACUAUAGGCUUGACCAAAAAGCAAGUUAUUAACCUCAUACGUGCAGUGUAUGCCCAACGUACGUGCCAACCAACUUCUCCUUCUAUUAAGAGCUUAAUCCCUUAAGGGCUUUUGUCCAAGAUCUAGAUCUAGUCCCAAAAACGUAUACUUUAUGACUUUGCAUAGCUAAGAAAUGCUCAAUACUAAAAACCCUAACUUCUUAACUCAUUAAGACAUUAUAACCCAUACAUGGAAGAAAACUAAUGACCAAAUUGCAUUUUUAUGGUCUUAGACACUCCACAACAUCUGGAAUGACAAUCCAUUUGGGUUUAGAGCAUGUCAUACUCAAGAACAUCAUUGAUUGGGGAGAAAAGCAGAUAAGCAUCAAGAUAUAAGCUUUAUACCUUCCAAGAUAUUCUCAUUUCCUUCUCCUUUCUCUAUGACCAUCAAAACACACACUAAUGGGUCAAGGAUGCUCAAAAAAAAUGGAUUAGGGUUAGCUAGGGUCGAAUAUGGAGGUGGAGAUGAAGAAUGAAGAGGUUUCAAAGAGAUAAGGAUGUUUAAAUAGGGUUCAAACCCUAAAAAUUAAGGUUUGACCCUUAAACACGUACGCCCAACGUACGCAACAUGCACCCAACAUACGCAUGCAACCUCUAUUUUUCAUUAAAAUGCCAUUUGGGACCAAAUUCGCAAUCAAUUCUCAUAUCAAGUGUCCAAAGGGAAAAAGAAAAAGACCAAGUUGUUUUUACAUAGGACUCGAGGAGUCGAUUUCUAGAAUUCUAGUCUUCUACCAAGAAUCAUGAUGUCAUUUCAUUUAUAUUUCAUCAAUCAAUCACCAAUUUCAUUUAUAAAUCAAUAGUCAAUUAUUAGCCGAAAGAAAGUUUGCAAUUUUUAUUUUGUAUCUAUGUAAUGAUGGUCAAAUAUCAAUUGGAACUUACUACAAUGGUGAUUUUAAUUCCAAUCGAAAGUCCUUGAGUAUGUAAUACAUUUUCUAAAUUAACAUUUGUUUUAUUUAAGAAAUGUUAAUUUAAGAAUUAAGUAUAAUGUGUUUAACUAUUUAAAAAACAUGCGGGUUACGAAAAAGGGUUAGGAUUGGAUUUUGAAAUUUGUUAACAUUGGAUCACGAUUGAUUCGCUCCAAACUCUCCCCAUUGCCAUGUCUACCUAUAUGUGUCAUGUAUUUUACAUUAUAUCUCUUGAAAUUACGACUAAAUCUAGCUCAUACUUUUUCUAUGAAGAACUCCCUCCGUCCCAAAAUUAUUGUCCACCGACAAAAAAACACAAUUAAGAAAACAUUAAUUACCCCUCACUUUAUUAAAUGAAAUGACAAUUAUACUUUUAGUUUCAUUUAAUUCCAGGAUAGAUUAACUAAUAAUGAGGGUAUUUUGGUAAAAGGGAUAUUUAUUUUUAGAAGUAACCUAUUAUUUUAGGCAAACCAAAAUGGAAACAUGAACUAUUGAUAUGAGACGGAAGGAGUAUUUCACAUCAAAAUAGAAGAAUCCUACUUCUUGUAUAAUUAUUCUAGUUAUAACACCCAAGGCUUACAUAAUCCUCGACUUACCAAUAAUCUUAAGUUUAUGAUCCAUUCGUACCCUUCAAAUCCUCAAUCCUUGACUAAUCCUUGACUUCCUGCUAAGAUCACUUUAUGAUUUAUUCAUAGACUUAACAUUCUAAUAUCCUUCUUUUCCUUAAUGUAUAUAUCAUAUGUCUAUAAUUCAUCAUAUUACUAGAUCAUUACGAGAUAAAGUCUAAAAUUAACACCUAUUAUCCAUUUUGCACCUCAUCAUGCUAACCAUGUUGAUUAGGUCCUCAAAGCACAUAUACAUAUAUGAUGCUUGAAUAAUCAAAUGGUACUUAUUAUUACAAAGAUCCAA
This 5542-nucleotide long non-coding RNA is filed under the name Lactuca sativa (garden lettuce). Its description in RNAcentral is "long non-coding RNA (LSAT_LNC003436)". Lineage: Eukaryota; Viridiplantae; Streptophyta; Magnoliopsida; Asterales; Asteraceae. The record is from RNAcentral.